GACGAACGCUGGCGGCGGGCUUAACACAUGCAAGUCGAACGGAAAGUCCCUUCUGGUGUGUGGUGCUCGAGUUGCGAAUGGGUGAGUAACGCGUGAGUAACCUUCCCUUGACGUUGGGAUAACUUCAAGAAACUUGGGCUAAUACCGGAUAGUUGCUCCUGCUGCAUUGUUGGGGUUGGAAAGUUUGGGCGGUUGGGGAUGGACUCGCGGCUUAUCAGCUUGUGGGUGGGGUAGUGGCUUACCAAGGCUUUGACGGGUAGCCGGCCUGAGAGGGUGACCGGCCACAUUGGGACUGAGAUACGGGCCAGACUCCUACGGGAGGCAGCAGUGGGGAAUAUUGCACGAUGGGCGGAAGCCUGAUGCAGCAACGCCGCGUGCGGGAUGACGGCCUUCGGGUUGUAAACCGCUUUCGCCUGUGACGAAGAGUGAGUGACGGUAAUGGGUAAAGAAGCACCGGCUAACUACGUG
This 468-nucleotide ribosomal RNA is filed under the name uncultured bacterium. Its description in RNAcentral is "partial 16S ribosomal RNA". It matches the Rfam family "Bacterial small subunit ribosomal RNA", at positions 28 to 507 of the family's 1533-position model. The record is from RNAcentral.